GGGUCAGUAGGUUGGUCGUGCCACCGGUACGUACUGGUCUCACUGAUUCCUCCUUCCUGAAGAACCGUAAUGCCAUUAAUCUGGUGUUGCGGGGAAACAGGACUGUUACUUUGAAAAAAUUAGAGUGUUUAAAGCAAGCUAACGCUUGAAUACAUUAGCAUGGAAUAAUGAAAUAGGACGAUCGAUCCCAUUUUGUUGGUUUCUAGGAUUGACGUA
RNAcentral lists this ribosomal RNA (216 nucleotides) under Glomeromycotina sp. RNAcentral describes it as "partial small subunit ribosomal RNA". The stretch from base 44 to 216 matches the Rfam family "Eukaryotic small subunit ribosomal RNA", at positions 690 to 864 of the family's 1831-position model. Lineage: Eukaryota; Fungi; Glomeromycota. The record is from RNAcentral.